UCAAGCCUCAACUCUUCAAGAUGUAACACUCAACAUCAUUUUCCCUCUCCUCAAACCAACAGAAGUAACAAAUCACUGUAAGAUGACGUGAACCCUGAAAACCAUACAUGCGCUCCGUGGCACAUCUUCAUCUUGCUACUUGGAAACCUUGUCUCUGACAGAAACAUGCCUUCUCCCCCUAUAGACGACACCAACCUACACGGCAGGUGAAAGACUCGUUAGCAUCGUAAGAAAGAAGGAGAGAGAAGGACGCCACUUCUGAGACAGCUGUGUCCCUGACAGACAAUGGAUGGCCCAGGUCCAUCUGGAUGCAGCAGCCCUGGACCAACAUGAUGUAUACAUCUUCACUAG
Molecule: non-coding RNA, 351 nt
Organism: Xyrichtys novacula (pearly razorfish)
Lineage: Eukaryota; Metazoa; Chordata; Actinopteri; Labriformes; Labridae
Source: the annotation of a GenBank genome assembly